Long non-coding RNA from Pipistrellus kuhlii (Kuhl's pipistrelle), 2091 nucleotides. RefSeq lists it as uncharacterized. The record is from RefSeq and is a predicted model, not a curated record. The transcript has 3 exons. NCBI's taxonomy places the organism in Eukaryota, Metazoa, Chordata, Mammalia, Chiroptera, Vespertilionidae.
GGUAGCCAGGGAGGGCCGCGCGGGCUAGUGGCGUGGGGCGGAGUGGCCAGCUUAGGGCCUGAGGGGGCCUUAGGGGAGCUUUAGGGAGCCUUAGGGUUAGGGCAGCUUUAGGGGGAGCCUUAGGGUUAGGGGAGCCUUAGAGGGAAGCUCUAGGGAAGCCUUAGGGUUAGGGCAGCUUUAGGGGGAACUUUAGGGGAGCCUUAGGGUUAGGGGGGCCUUAGGGAGCAGAGGAGGGCGAUGGCAGAGUUAGACGAGGCUGGGGCCCUCGGGGUCCCAGGGGGAGGAAGGCUGAGGGGGAGGGUAGAUCUGGGGAAAGCUUCGUUGACAGGAGCCGCAGCCACGGGGGAGGCCAGGCCUCGCCGCUGCCUGCGGGCGAGGGGCCCGGCCUCCAGGAGAGAGAGGCCCCGUGGGCCGAGCCGCAGUGCCCGGCCGGAGGGAGGCAGAGGAUGAGCUGGAGGAGACGGUCUCGCCACCCCGCUGGAGGCCCGGGUGCCCUGAGUGCUGAGGAAGGGAGGAAGGCCGGGGGGCCGGGAGGGCUGACCUUGACCUUGUCACCAGCAGCCCCUUUUCUUCCAGACCAGGGUGUGAGCUCGCCCGGGCGCAGAGGAGGCCUGGUCUUGUGGAAAUUGAACUUGGCCUCGCGGGGCUGACGGCUGGGGCCCAGGGUGGUAUGUAACGGGCCCGGCCGGCGGAGCCCGGUCUGGGUGAGGCAGGCCCAGUCCAGUGAGGGUGGUGCAGGAGUGAGAUGGAGGAGUAGGUGCGGCGGCUGGUAAGGUGCCUCACGGCUGCUGAGCAGAGGCCGCGUGUGUGGACAGCGCUGACCCCGCUUUGUUUUCCAGGUGGCAGAGCUCCCCUCUGGACUCCCUCUAGGUUCUCCUGUGACUCCUCUGCCCCUCCUCCUCCUCCCUUUAACUCUCAAGGUUAUCCCUUCACUUAGGCCUUGCUUCUGGUAAUCUGGUAAGCCCGGGACGUCGUCACGUCCCUGUUGGAGUCGGUAUUGCUGGUAACCUUGACCGAGAGGUUGGGGUGGGGCGAGUGGGUUGCUUGCCGGUGGAGAGGGUGGGGUUGAACGUGCACCCUUGGCUGGGCCCGCAGCGCUGGUACCAGCUGAGAGGCACACAGGGGCCUCAUGGACCGUGGUUUGUAACCAGAGUGUUCAUCUCGGCGACCAGAUGGCACCAGGAGACAUGGAGGCCCUGGCCAGUGUGAGGCGAGGCAGAGCCGCAGGGGAGGCCCUGGAGGAGAGAGCGCGCCUAAGUUGAUGGCUGCAGAUUGCAUUUCCAGUCUUAGGAGGAGGAAGUUCUCCGCUGGCAUGUCUCCAGGCCUUGCUCGGGAAGCCCCGUGUGCAGGAGGCCAUCCUUUAAGGGUUUCAGAUGAGCUGCUGAGGGUGGCAAUCGUAAAGUCCGAGUCAGAUGCAUCCAGGCCACCAGCAGAUGCGUUUAUUUGCUUUUUGAUCUUGGAGCACCAAUCCCGGGCACGUGAGUGCCAGCAGGCACCCCUCCUUUUUUGGGGUGGUUUUCAGAUGCUGCAUCUUCUAUAUUGAGCCUCCUUGUCAUGCUAGUUCUCUGCUACGAACCUUGCUUCCAGAAGAUUCUUAAGCUCUAGAACAUGUUGAUGUUGAUGUCGAAACGCAGAGUGAUGCCUUGUAGAUGGAACUUGCAGAUGGAGCCCAGUGAUCCUCUCGCCUACCCACCCACCCACCCACCUGUGCUUUGGUCGGAGGAAUUAGUGUGAUGAUGGAACUGUGGGGAAUGUUCAAGUUUGAAUGCCUUAGGCAAAGGCCUGGAAGAAGCAAGCUGGGGUGGGUGAUUGGGUUGUGCUGCAGUCUGGUGGGUUACAAGUCGGUCAUGCCCAAAUUCUGUCAGAAAUGGCAGGUGUAGUUUGGGCAUUUCCAUUGCCUCACAGGGUACCAAGGGGAAUGGGCGGGUACUGGAGGUGGUAUUUGGUUCAUCUUGCUGUUUUUUAACUUGAAUUCUACCUGAUUGGAUUUCACAAUAAUCUUGGUAUUCAAAUGGGAGGAGCCUGAGGGGGAGAGGGUUGUAAGGGUAGGGGCACUGGUAUUGGGGGAGAGGGGUGAAGGAAGGGAAGAGG